Molecule: ribosomal RNA, 468 nt
Filed under: uncultured bacterium
Lineage: Bacteria
Description: partial 16S ribosomal RNA
Rfam family: Bacterial small subunit ribosomal RNA
Source: RNAcentral
GACGAACGCUGGCGGCGUGCUUAACACAUGCAAGUCGAACGGAAAGGCCCUGCUUUUGUGGGGUGCUCGAGUGGCGAACGGGUGAGUAACACGUGAGUAACCUGCCCUUGACUUUGGGAUAACUUCAGGAAACUGGGGCUAAUACCGGAUAGGAGCUCCUGCUGCAUGGUGGGGGUUGGAAAGUUUCGGCGGUUGGGGAUGGACUCGCGGCUUAUCAGCUUGUUGGUGGGGUAGUGGCUUACCAAGGCUUUGACGGGUAGCCGGCCUGAGAGGGUGAGCGGGCACAAGGGGACUGAGGGGAGGGACAGAGUGAUAAGUGAGGCAGCGGGGGGGAAUGGUGCACCAGGGGCGGAGGCGUGGUGAAGAAAGGCCGCGGGGUGGAAGAGGGUUUUCGGGGUGUAAAAAAGUAUCAGCUGAAAAGAACGCUGAGUGACGGUGAUGGGAAAAAAAGGCACGGGCUACUACGUG